CAGGUUUCAAUGGAGCUGUGAAAGAUGAAACAGGAGCAGUGCCCGCAGGGGAGGAGGAGGAGGUGGGUGCACGAGUAGAGGGCCGUGGAGGAGGAGGUGGUUUCAAUGGAGCUGUGAAAGAUGAAACAGGAGCAGUGCCCGCAGGGGAGGAGGAGGAGGUGGGUGCACGAGUAGAGGGCCGUGGAGGAGGAGGUCGCAUUU
This 201-nucleotide long non-coding RNA is filed under the name Ananas comosus (pineapple). RNAcentral's name for it is "long non-coding RNA (ACOM_LNC031968)". The record is from RNAcentral. Lineage: Eukaryota; Viridiplantae; Streptophyta; Magnoliopsida; Poales; Bromeliaceae.